Molecule: long non-coding RNA, 322 nt
Organism: Orcinus orca (killer whale)
Lineage: Eukaryota; Metazoa; Chordata; Mammalia; Artiodactyla; Delphinidae
Exons: 3
Source: RefSeq, a predicted model, not a curated record
GGGUCUGGGGUAGAGGAGGGGGGGAGGGGCCUGGGUAGAGCAGGGUGGGAGGGGUCUGGAGGAGAGGAGGGCGAGAGGGGUCUGGGUAGAGGAGGGUAGGAGGGGCCUGGGGUAGAGGAGGGCGGGGAGGGUCCGGGGUAGAGCAGGGUGGGAGGGGUCCGGGGUAGAGCAGGGUGGGAGGGGUCCGGGGUAGAGGAGGGUGGGAGGAGUCUGGGUAGAGGAGGGUGGGAGGGGCCUGGGGUAGAGGAGGGCGGGGAGGGUCCGGGGUAGAGGAGAGGAGGGCGAGAGGGGUCUGGGUAGAGCAGGGUGGGAGGGGCCUGGG